Molecule: ribosomal RNA, 1366 nt
Filed under: Cylindrospermopsis raciborskii
Lineage: Bacteria; Bacillati; Cyanobacteriota; Cyanophyceae; Nostocales; Aphanizomenonaceae
Description: 16S ribosomal RNA
Rfam family: Bacterial small subunit ribosomal RNA
Source: RNAcentral
CGGGUGAGUAACGCGUGAGAAUCUGGCUCCAGGUCGGGGAUAACAGUUGGAAACGACUGCUAAUACCGGAUGUGCCGAGAGGUGAAAGAUUUAUUGCCUGGAGAUGAGCUCGCGUCUGAUUAGCUAGUUGGUGGUGUAAGGGACCACCAAGGCGUCGAUCAGUAGCUGGUCUGAGAGGAUGAUCAGCCACACUGGGACUGAGACACGGCCCAGACUCCUACGGGAGGCAGCAGUGGGGAAUUUUCCGCAAUGGGCGAAAGCCUGACGGAGCAAUACCGCGUGAGGGAGGAAGGCUCUUGGGUCGUAAACCUCUUUUCUCAAGGAAGAAGAAAGUGACGGUACUUGAGGAAUAAGCAUCGGCUAACUCCGUGCCAGCAGCCGCGGUAAUACGGAGGAUGCAAGCGUUAUCCGGAAUGAUUGGGCGUAAAGGGUCUGCAGGUGGAACUGAAAGUCUGCUGUUAAAGAGUUUGGCUUAACCAAAUAAAAGCGGUGGAAACUACAGAACUAGAGUGCGGUAGGGGCAAAAGGAAUUCCUGGUGUAGCGGUGAAAUGCGUAGAUAUCAGGAAGAACACCGGUGGCGAAAGCGUUUUGCUAGACCGUAACUGACACUGAGGGACGAAAGCUAGGGGAGCGAAUGGGAUUAGAUACCCCAGUAGUCCUAGCCGUAAACGAUGGAUACUAGGCGUGGCUUGUAUCGACCCGAGCCGUGCCGGAGCUAACGCGUUAAGUAUCCCGCCUGGGGAGUACGCACGCAAGUGUGAAACUCAAAGGAAUUGACGGGGGCCCGCACAAGCGGUGGAGUAUGGUGGUUUAAUUCGAUGCAACGCGAAGAACCUUACCAAGACUUGACAUCCUGCGAAUCCUGGUGAAAGCUAGGAGUGCCUUAGGGAGCGCAGAGACAGGUGGUGCAUGGCUGUCGUCAGCUCGUGUCGUGAGAUGUUGGGUUAAGUCCCGCAACGAGCGCAACCCUCGUUUUUAGUUGCCAGCAUUAAGUUGGGCACUCUAGAGAGACUGCCGGUGACAAACCGGAGGAAGGUGAGGAUGACGUCAAGUCAGCAUGCCCCUUACGUCUUGGGCUACACACGUACUACAAUGCUACGGACAGAGGGCAGCGAGCCAGGGAUGGCAAGCGAAUCCAGAAACCGUAGCUCAGUUCAGAUCGAAGGCUGCAACUCGCCUUCGUGAAGGAGGAAUCGCUAGUAAUUGCAGGUCAGCAUACUGCAGUGAAUUCGUUCCCGGGCCUUGUACACACCGCCCGUCACACCAUGGAAGUUGGUCACGCCCGAAGUCAUUACCCCAACCGAAAGGAGGGGGAUGCCUAAGGUAGGACUGGUGACUGGGGUGAAGUCGUAACAAGGUAGCCGU